GAUGAACGCUGGCGGCGUGCCUAAUACAUGCAAGUCGAGCGAACAGAUGAGGAGCUUGCUCCUCUGACGUUAGCGGCGGACGGGUGAGUAACACGUGGAUAACCUACCUAUAAGACUGGGAUAACUUCGGGAAACCGGAGCUAAUACCGGAUAAUAUAUUGAACCGCAUGGUUCAAUAGUGAAAGACGGUUUUGCUGUCACUUAUAGAUGGAUCCGCGCCGCAUUAGCUAGUUGGUAAGGUAACGGCUUACCAAGGCGACGAUGCGUAGCCGACCUGAGAGGGUGAUCGGCCACACUGGAACUGAGACACGGUCCAGACUCCUACGGGAGGCAGCAGUAGGGAAUCUUCCGCAAUGAGCGAAAGCCUGACGGAGCAACGCCGCGUGAGUGAUGAAGGUCUUCGGAUCGUAAAACUCUGUUAUUAGGGAAGAACAAAUGUGUAAGUAACUAUGCACGUCUUGACGGUACCUAAUCAGAAAGCCACGGCUAACUACGUG
RNAcentral lists this ribosomal RNA (497 nucleotides) under uncultured bacterium. RNAcentral describes it as "partial 16S ribosomal RNA". It matches the Rfam family "Bacterial small subunit ribosomal RNA", at positions 28 to 507 of the family's 1533-position model. The record is from RNAcentral.